CUCAGCCCAGAAAAGUCCACCCACCACCACCACCACCACCACCUCUCGGUUCGCUCCGUCUUAUACACGAAGCCCACCGUCCCGACCGGUGGCUGUAGCCAGCAAACCGAGCUCCAGAUCGGUCAUCUUCGUUCCUCCUAGCCAACCCAAUUUUUUUCAAAAAGAACUUUUCAUUUUUGUUUAAUCGACACAAUCUUACCAGUGCUUCCCAGUUGUGUUUGUGCAUCUCAAAUCAAUCGACCGCUUCCUUUCAAAUUUGCAAAGCCAACGUCGAAGAUUCAGCCGCCGGGCACUGUUGCUUAGCCGACGAAGAAGACGCAGCUGUCAAGAUCCAGGCCUUCUACAGGGGCUACCAGACACGUCGUGAUUUGGCAGACAAAAAGGAGAAGGAACUUUACGGUCCGGGUGGUAAACCGGGCAAAAAAAAGAAGGGAACUUAUCCGAAACCUCAGGCACCGACAGCACCACCACCACCACCACCUCAGCAGCAGCCGGCAGCAGCAGCAGCGGAUUUGCAACAACAACCAAUUACUUUGACGUAAAAACAACACUUCCGCCAAUCAAUAAAAAUGGAUUUGGACGCAAUGGAUCCCGCUGAACUCGAGCAAGAUUUGG
RNAcentral lists this unclassified non-coding RNA (615 nucleotides) under Daphnia pulicaria. RNAcentral describes it as "uncharacterized LOC124342892, transcript variant X5". Lineage: Eukaryota; Metazoa; Arthropoda; Branchiopoda; Diplostraca; Daphniidae. The record is from RNAcentral.